This 311-nucleotide long non-coding RNA is filed under the name Capsella grandiflora. Its description in RNAcentral is "long non-coding RNA (CGRA_LNC000167)". The record is from RNAcentral. Lineage: Eukaryota; Viridiplantae; Streptophyta; Magnoliopsida; Brassicales; Brassicaceae.
AGUCUAAUCUCAGAAACAGAACACACGAUUAAAGAUUUAGGUUUAUUCUUAUGAAAACUUUUUGAAAGAGAGAGAUAGAUAGAGAGAGAAUGAGAACCGUGUGAUGUUGCUUAUCAAUGGCGGUAAGAUUUGUGUAAUACUCUGUUUCCAAGAACUCAUCUACUGCAGAUGAAUCUCCCUCACCUAGAACCUGACCCUGUUUUAUUUUGACAGCCAGGAAAAAAAAACUCAACAUUUAACGACAACGUUAGUUUAUGUAAAGAGAAAAGAGUUGAGUUUUAGAGAAACCGAACAUGAGUUUGUGACUGGAG